CCUACGGGGGGCAGCAGUGAGGAAUAUUGGUCAAUGGGCGCGAGCCUGAACCAGCCAAGUAGCGUGAAGGAUGACUGCCCUACGGGUUGUAAACUGCUUUUAGAAAGGAAUAAAAUGAGGCACGUGUGCCUUUUUGUAUAUACUUUAUGAAUAAGGAUCGGCUAACUCCGCGCCAGCGGCCGCGGUAAUACGGAGGAUCCGAGCGUUAUCCGGAUUUAUUGGGGUUAAAGGGAGCGUAGAUGGGGUGUUAAGUCAGUUGUGAAAGUCUGCGGCUCAACCGUAAAAUUGCAAUUGAUACUGGCAGCCUUGAGUACAGUUGAGGUAGGCGGAAUUCGUGGUGUAGCGGUGAAAUGCUUAGAUAUCAUGAAGAACUCCGAUUGCGAAGGCAGCUGAC
Molecule: ribosomal RNA, 394 nt
Filed under: uncultured bacterium
Lineage: Bacteria
Description: partial 16S ribosomal RNA
Rfam family: Bacterial small subunit ribosomal RNA
Source: RNAcentral